RNAcentral lists this transfer RNA (76 nucleotides) under Salmonella enterica. Its description in RNAcentral is "tRNA-Met". It matches the Rfam family "tRNA". Rfam says of the family: Transfer RNA (tRNA) molecules are approximately 80 nucleotides in length. Lineage: Bacteria; Pseudomonadati; Pseudomonadota; Gammaproteobacteria; Enterobacterales; Enterobacteriaceae. The record is from RNAcentral.
GGUAGUGUAGCUCAGGCGGUAGAGCGACGGACUCAUAAUCCGUAGGUCGGUGGAUCGUACCCACCCACUACCACCA